CUGAAGCUAUUGACCUGAACAUGUAGGCUCUUGUUGCUCAGAAACAUAUAUCGUUAGUUGUCAUCCUUGUGAAGAUCGCCGAUGAGUGGAAGACAAGCCAUGGAGGUACUCUACCAUCUACUAGGGAAGGAAAAAAGAAUUCAAGGAACUUCUCAAAACCAGGAUGGCUGCAAUGGAUGAAAACAUCUAUAAAGAAGCUAUUGACGCCUCCUUUAAUUGAGGAAUCAAUAAGUUUGUCUUAGCAAUGAAUAUUUGAGGCACCUUGCCCUUCGUUCAGGGUAAUUCAUUACAUCCUACUUUUUUGGCAAAGAACUUUGAUUAAUGUGAAACGAAGAGUUGGGAAAGUAUCCUUUGAAUGAUUUGGUAGACAGAUGUUUUAUAUUGUAGUUAACAUAAGUUACUUAUGUAAGUUAUUUAUAUAAUCUCGGUGCAUGGAGGUCUGGCUGUCUAUAACUAAAGCUAGCACUGUUUGAGAGUGACUUCUAAAAACAUCUUCUGCAAAUUUUACUUGAUCAAGUGUACAGUUUUUAAUGUUUUUUUUUUGUUAUAAUUUUGGACUUUCGUUGUAAAUUGAAGACACAAUCCAGAGGAUAGUUCCAGUAUUACAUUAAAUUUUAGUAGAAUGUAAAUUGUAUAUUUUAUUGAUUU
Gossypium arboreum is the source of this 648-nucleotide long non-coding RNA. RefSeq lists it as uncharacterized. NCBI's taxonomy places the organism in Eukaryota, Viridiplantae, Streptophyta, Magnoliopsida, Malvales, Malvaceae. The record is from RefSeq and is a predicted model, not a curated record. The transcript has 2 exons.